UACGGAGGGUGCGAGCGUUAAUCGGAAUUACUGGGCGUAAAGGGUGCGUAGGUGGUUUAAUAAGUUAGCUGUGAAAUUCCUGGGCUCAACCUGGGCAGGUCAGCUAAGACUGUUAGACUGGAGUAUAGGAGAGGGUAGUGGAAUUUCCGGUGUAGCGGUGAAAUGCGUAGAGAUCGGAAGGAACACCAGUGGCGAAGGCGGCUACCUGGCCUGAUACUGACACUGAGGCACGAAAGCGUGGGGAGCAAACAGG
This 253-nucleotide ribosomal RNA is filed under the name uncultured bacterium. RNAcentral's name for it is "partial 16S ribosomal RNA". It matches the Rfam family "Bacterial small subunit ribosomal RNA", at positions 524 to 776 of the family's 1533-position model. The record is from RNAcentral.